RNAcentral lists this ribosomal RNA (426 nucleotides) under uncultured bacterium. Its description in RNAcentral is "partial 16S ribosomal RNA". It matches the Rfam family "Bacterial small subunit ribosomal RNA", at positions 354 to 796 of the family's 1533-position model. The record is from RNAcentral.
GUGAGGAAUUUUCCGCAAUGGGCGAAAGCCUGACGGAGCAAUGCCGCGUGAAGGAUGAAGGCCUAUGGGUUGUAAACUUCUUUUCUCAGAAAAGAAUUAUGACGGUAUCUGAGGAAUAAGCAUCGGCUAACUCUGUGCCAGCAGCCGCGGUAAGACAGAGGAUGCAAGCGUUAUCCGGAAUGAUUGGGCGUAAAGCGUCUGUAGGUUGUUUAAAAAGUCUUCUGUCAAAGAUUAGGGCUUAACCCUAGAUAGGCAGAAUAAACUUUUAAGCUAGCGUUUGGUAGAGGCAGAGAGAAUUCCCGGUGGAGCGGUGAAAUGCGUAGAGAUCGGGAGGAACACCAAAGGCGAAGGCACUCUGCUGGGCCAAUACUAACACUGAGAGACGAAAGCGAGGGGAGCAAAUGGGAUUAGAUACCCGUGUAGUCC